GAGACUACAGCAAGUGGUGGCCCUUACGAGGAACUCAUCACAUUGGUCCGCAACGGAGAAAAUCAGAAAGGUUCCUGGGAAAAAAGGGAUGAAGCAUUAAGGUUCUCAGGAAGUGAUGGAGAUGAG
This is a long non-coding RNA of Mus musculus (house mouse), 126 nucleotides long. RefSeq annotates it as predicted gene, 53844. The transcript is spliced from 3 exons. Lineage: Eukaryota; Metazoa; Chordata; Mammalia; Rodentia; Muridae. The record is from RefSeq and is a predicted model, not a curated record.